CCAGACUCCUACGGGAGGCAGCAGUGGGGAACAUUGCACAAUGGGGGAAACCCUGAUGCAGCGACGCCGCGUGAGUGAAGAAGUAUUUCGGUAUGUAAAGCUCUAUCAGCAGGGAAGAAAUAGCGACCUUUGGGUCGCCAGACGGUACCUGACUAAGAAGCCCCGGCUAACUACGUGCCAACAGCCGCGGUAAUACGUAGGGGGCAAGCGUUAUCCGGAUUUACUGGGUGUAAAGGGGGCGCAGACGGCAAUGCAAGCCAGGAGUGAAAGCCCGGGGCCCAACCCCGGGACUGCUCUUGGAACUGCAUAGCUGGAGUACAGGAGGGGCAGGCGGAAUUCCUAGUGUAGCGGUGAAAUGCGUAGAUAUUAGGAGGAACACCGGUGGCGAAGGCGGCCUGCUGGACUGUGACUGACGUUGAGGCCCGAAGGCGUGGGGAGCAAACAGGAUUAGAUACCCUUGUAUG
RNAcentral lists this ribosomal RNA (464 nucleotides) under uncultured bacterium. Its description in RNAcentral is "bacterial SSU rRNA". It matches the Rfam family "Bacterial small subunit ribosomal RNA", at positions 331 to 793 of the family's 1533-position model. The record is from RNAcentral.